CGGAGACGGAGCGCGGCCGGAGCUCCUCGCGCCGCUGCUUCUAAAAUGCCUGCCGCUGCCAGGAGGUAUAAACGAGCCGAUGGGGGCUCAGCUGGGAAUUCGCCCACUGAACAGCGCGGGAACUGCGUGUAAACGGGCUUGCCUCAAUAACGCCGACCUGCAGCCGGCAGCACGCAGCGUGCGCCUCCCCGGCACAGCCUCGCUGUCAACACCCAGCGCUCCCAACCUCACUAGAAGGAAACCAACCUCCAUGCCACCAGUUCAUCAGGUGCUGGCAUGGGGUAAGCAAACAAACAAGCUGGUUCAACAGGAAUUACAGGGCUCUCUGGCUGAGAAGUAUAGAAGAGGACAGGACUCCCUUCAGCACAUAUCAAGAUCAUUUCUUAAUCAGCUGUUGGACGCAUUUUGAUUUGAGAGACACAAAGUACUGGCUCUUCUUCAGGAACUGAAUGCCUUAUCCCUUGUUAUGCUACAGCCUCAAUGCUGGCACCAAUCAUUUCUGCAGUUAAAGCACACACCUGCAUCUGGACGCACUUUCUGACAAAAUCUCAUUAAAACUGUGGUGGCUGUUUUGCAGGAACUCAGGACAUGCCUGGGAAAGAACACAAGGCAGUCAGCCAAAGGCACAACUUCACAGUCAUGUUAACAAUGGCUAAACAAAUCUCAGAAUCCUCCUGAAGAAAUCUGGAAUAAAAUAAAAACAAUUUUCUUCUGUUAGUCUUGU
Molecule: long non-coding RNA, 724 nt
Filed under: Chrysolophus pictus (golden pheasant)
Lineage: Eukaryota; Metazoa; Chordata; Aves; Galliformes; Phasianidae
Description: lncRNA (ENSCPIG00010005566.1)
Source: RNAcentral